Molecule: microRNA, 22 nt
Filed under: Gallus gallus (chicken)
Lineage: Eukaryota; Metazoa; Chordata; Aves; Galliformes; Phasianidae
Description: gga-miR-6691-5p
Source: miRBase by way of RNAcentral
GUGCAUGAUGAACCUGCUGAGC